UACGUAGGGUGCGAGCGUUGUCCGGAAUUAUUGGGCGUAAAGAGCUCGUAGGCGGUUUGUCGCGUCUGCUGUGAAAACUCGGGGCUUAACUCCGGGCCUGCAGUGGGUACGGGCAGACUAGAGUGCGGUAGGGGAGACUGGAAUUCCUGGUGUAGCGGUGAAAUGCGCAGAUAUCAGGAGGAACACCGAUGGCGAAGGCAGGUCUCUGGGCCGCAACUGACGCUGAGGAGCGAAAGCAUGGGGAGCGAACAGG
Molecule: ribosomal RNA, 253 nt
Filed under: uncultured bacterium
Lineage: Bacteria
Description: partial 16S ribosomal RNA
Rfam family: Bacterial small subunit ribosomal RNA
Source: RNAcentral